This 816-nucleotide long non-coding RNA is filed under the name Coturnix japonica (Japanese quail). Its description in RNAcentral is "lncRNA (ENSCJPG00005018919.1)". The record is from RNAcentral. Lineage: Eukaryota; Metazoa; Chordata; Aves; Galliformes; Phasianidae.
AUGCGGUCGUAUUUUUGCUCUCCAGGAGCAUCAGAAAAAACCGGGAUGUACCAACACACAGCUCAGCCUUCCCACCUGACCUGCAAGCGCAGUUACGCCGCUAACGCCGCCGCUAAGGCCGCCUCUGCCUCUCGCUUCAACCGCCGGCCCGCGGGAUCCUCCCGUGCCCGCACCGCGCCGCCCAACCGCUCCCGCUCAUCCCGUGCGGAGCGCCCCCCUGCGCCGCCCACCUGCGCGCACCACCGCCGCCGGCCAAAGAGCGCGCCCGCUAACGCCCGCCGAGUCCUUUCAAAUGCAGCCAACGGCAGCGCGCGGCGCCGCGACGCAUUCUGGGGUCGAGCGGGGAUUGGUCGUCGGCGUAAAUAUGGCCGUGCCGAAGGGUCGGACGGGAGCUGUAGUUGUAGUGGCGGUGUGGUGUCUGUGCCGCCCGAGCCCAGCAUGGCGGUGGGCGCUGUGUGCUGUGCAGGUGCUGGCCGAGAUGGGAUCCCCGCUGCUCAGAGCAGCGCCUGGGCCCCUUCGCUUCGCCUCCUCUCCCCGUCCAUCCCCAGGCCUGGCAGGACGAUGUCUGGUCUUUCUGUAACUGUCAGCAAACACCAUGAGACCACAGAGAUGGCUGAGUAUUUUGUUGCUUUAUUACUGGAAGGAGCUGAAGCAUUUGGACGUCAAUCAGCUGAUCAGGUUGAACAGCACAAUACCACGUCAGCUGGUAGAAUAGCAGAAGUGGCCUUUGUUGGAGAAAAUGGUUACAGGAUCUACCUGCAGUUCCAGUGGGAUGCUUUUGGACAGUGUUGUUCAGGUGGAUGGUAUAGCUGGUAA